UAGGGAAUCUUCCGCAAUGGACGAAAGUCUGACGGAGCAACGCCGCGUGAGUGAAGAAGGAUUUCGGUUCGUAAAACUCUGUUGUUAGGGAAGAAAAAAUGUAUAGUAACUAUAUACAAAAGAGACGGUACCUAACCAGAAAGCCACGGCUAACUACGUGCCAGCAGCCGCGGUAAUACGUAGGUGGCAAGCGUUGUCCGGAAUUAUUGGGCGUAAAGCGCGCGCAGGUGGUUUAGAAAGUCUGAUGUGAAAGCCUACGGCUCAACCGUGGAGGGUCAUUGGAAACUAAUAAACUUGAGUGCAGGAGAGAAAAGUGGAAUUCCUAGUGUAGCGGUGAAAUGCGUAGAGAUUAGGAGGAACACCGGUGGCGAAAGCGGCUUUUUGGCCUGCAACUGACACUGAGGCGCGAAAGCGUGGGGAGCAAACAGG
This 429-nucleotide ribosomal RNA is filed under the name Verrucomicrobiota bacterium. Its description in RNAcentral is "Verrucomicrobia bacterium partial 16S ribosomal RNA". It matches the Rfam family "Bacterial small subunit ribosomal RNA", at positions 355 to 776 of the family's 1533-position model. Lineage: Bacteria; Pseudomonadati; Verrucomicrobiota. The record is from RNAcentral.